UGCUCAUGGUUGAGCACCGUGCUAACCACACGGCGUUGUGGGUUCGAUUCCCGC
RNAcentral lists this transfer RNA (54 nucleotides) under Variovorax sp. SG517. RNAcentral describes it as "tRNA-Val". Lineage: Bacteria; Pseudomonadati; Pseudomonadota; Betaproteobacteria; Burkholderiales; Comamonadaceae. The record is from RNAcentral.